This 413-nucleotide ribosomal RNA is filed under the name uncultured bacterium. RNAcentral's name for it is "partial 16S ribosomal RNA". It matches the Rfam family "Bacterial small subunit ribosomal RNA", at positions 355 to 759 of the family's 1533-position model. The record is from RNAcentral.
UGGGGAAUAUUGCACAAUGGGCGCAAGCCUGAUGCAGCCAUGCCGCGUGUGUGAAGAAGGCCUUCGGGUUGUAAAGCACUUUCAGCGAGGAGGAAGGUGGUGAACUUAAUACGUUCAUCAAUUGACGUUACUCGCAGAAGAAGCACCGGCUAACUCCGUGCCAGCAGCCGCGGUAAUACGGAGGGUGCAAGCGUUAAUCGGAAUUACUGGGCGUAAAGCGCACGCAGGCGGUUUGUUAAGUCAGAUGUGAAAUCCCCCGGGCUCAACCUGGGAACUGCAUUUGAAACUGGCAAGCUAGAGUCUCGUAGAGGGGGGUAGAAUUCCAGGUGUAGCGGUGAAAUGCGUAGAGAUCUGGAGGAAUACCGGUGGCGAAGGCGGCCCCCUGGACGAAGACUGACGCUCAGGUGCGAAAA